GAGAGAUGGCUGAGCGGUUGAAGGCGCUGGUCUCGAAAACCGGUAUAUCCUUUCGGGUAUCGUGGGUUCGAAUCCCACUCUCUCC
This 85-nucleotide transfer RNA is filed under the name marine eukaryotic metagenome. It matches the Rfam family "tRNA". From Rfam's summary of the family: Transfer RNA (tRNA) molecules are approximately 80 nucleotides in length. Their secondary structure includes four short double-helical elements and three loops (D, anti-codon, and T loops). The record is from RNAcentral.